UGUCCACACGUGGUAUCUACAUUACUCACUCACAGCAUUUUAUAUUCACAUUGACUUUGACCUUCACACCAAAACGACCUGUGAUAAAUCUUAGCGCGUAUUGUUGGACACUGCCCCCACAUUCCAUCUUUUCAACUUUGACCUGGACAUAUUUUGUCGGCGUGGCUGUUUUUCUUCAGUGUCAUCACAACAUCGACCAUGACCAGUACAAAAAGGGUUGCUGUGGUGACGGGGUCCAACAAGGGUAUUGGGUUUGCUGUCGUCCGAGGGUUGUGUAAAAGCUAUGAUGGUGAUGUCUGCCUGACAGCACGAGAUGAAGGUCGUGGCCAGGCAGCUGUUGCUGACCUCAACAAGGAAGGCUUGCGGCCCAAGUUCCAUCAGCUGGACAUCAACGACCAGUCAAGCGUAGAGCGACUGAAGUCAUUCCUACAGACCACCUACGGGGGAUUGGAUGUCUUGGUCAACAAUGCUGGAAUAGCAUACAGGAAUGCGGACCCAGCACCGUUUGCUGAGCAGGCUGAAUUUACCUGUAAAACCAACUUCUGGGCCACCCUGGAGUCUUCACGUAUACUGUUCCCACUCCUACGACCUCACGCCAGGGUUGUGAACGUGUCAAGCGUACUAGCUCACAGAGCCAUCAGUCAGUGUUCCCCCGCUGUUCAAGGUCGCUUCAGGGACCCUGCCCUUACAAUGGAUGGCCUGGAGAAAAUCAUGCAAGAGUUUGUUGAUGCUGCUAAGGCAGGUAAACAUCGGGAACAGGGGUUUCCGAGCUCAGCGUAUGGUGCAUCCAAGAUAGGGAAGAACAUCAUGACCAUCAUUCAGGAUAGGGACAUGAGGAACGACCCAAGAGAGGACAUUGUCAUCAAUGCGUGCUGCCCUGGUCAUGUGCAAACUGACAUGUCAAGACAGACAGGGUCAAAGAACAUUGAUGAAGGUGCUGACUCCAUAGUAUACCUUGCACUCCUGGCCAGGAACACUACAACCCCCAAAGGCAACUUUGUCGCUGACAGAACCAUUUUGCAAUGGUAAUAACUAUAUCAUUUUACACAUAAAACACUAGUAUGGUUCAACACACUCACUGCCCUGCUUGUCGGGGACCAGUGAAAUGUUUUAAAGAUUUGUAGAUUUCUUUUGAGUCACCUAAUCGUCUAAUUUUGCAUAAACUAGUCUGAAGUGAACAGUGGACAAGUUGGUUGCUUUUCUGCCUUUAUCAGCAGGUACAUGCACCUUACUCAGUCUAGUAGUUGUGUAUAAGUGCAUUUCAGACUUAAACAUCCUCUAGUAUGCAGUCAUUGAUAGAAAUUAGAAGUUGGAAGAACAUGAACGUAUGACACAUGUAUGGAUGAUGAUGGAACAAGAGGUAGCUCUGAAUAUUUGUGACAAAGAAUAAAAGAAGUUGCUGUCCAUAAACGUGUCAUGUAUUCAUGCUCUAGUAUGCAGUGUCUAGGCUCUCCAUUCUGAUUGAAUACCACCUCUGGACCCUCUGGACUGGCGCGUCGACUGUUAGUUGACUGGUGCCUAAACUAGUGUGUUGACAGGUGUGUAGAUUCGUGUGUAGACUGGUGUGUAGACUAGUGUGUUGACAGGUGUGUAGUCUAGUGUGUUGACUGGUGUCUCGCCUAGUGUGUUGACAUGUGUGUAGUUUAGUGUGUUGACUGGUGUCUCGACGAGUGUGUUGACAGGUGUGUAGAUUCGAGUGUAGACUGGUGUGUAGACUAGUGUGUUGACAGGUGUGUAGUCUAGUGUGUUGACUGGUGUCUCGACUAGUGCGUUGACAGGUGUGUAGAUUCGUGUGUAGACUGGUGUGUAGACUAGUGUGUUGACAGGUGUGUAGUCUAGUGUGUUGACUGGUGUCUCGACUAGUGCGUUGACAGGUGUGUAGAUUCGUGUGUAGACUGGUGUGUAGACUAGUGUGUUGACAGGUGUGUAGUCUAGUGUGUUGACUGGUGUCUCGACAAGUGUGUUGACAGAUGUGUAGAUUCAUGUGUUGACUGGUGUGUAGACUAGUGUGUUGACAGGUCGGAAGUCUAGUGUGUUGACUGGUGUCUCGACUAGUGUGUUGACAGGUGUGUAGAUUCGUGUGUUGACUGGUGUCUCGACUAGUGUGUUGACAGGUGUGUAGAUUCAUGUGUUGACUGUUGUGUAGACUAGUGUGUUGACUGGUGUGUAGACUAGUGUGUUGACAGGUGUUUAGUCUAGUGUGUUGACUGGUGUCUCGACUAGUGUGGUGACAGGUGUGUAGCCCCUUGUGUUGUCUGGUGUCCCGACUAGUGUGUUGACUUGUGUGUAUAUUCGUGUGUUGACUGGUGUCCCGACUGGUGUGUUUACAGGUGUGUAGACUCAUGUGUUGACUGGUGUCUCGACUAGUGUGUUGACAGAUGUGUAGAUUUGUGUGUUGACUGGUGCCUCAACUAGUGUGUUGACAGGUGUGUAGACUCGUGUGUUGACUGGUGUCUCGACUAGUGUGUUGACAGGUGUGUAGCCUCUUGUGUUGACUGGUGUCUCGACUAGUGCGUUGACAGGUGUGUAGAUUCGUGUGUAGACUGGUGUGUAGACUAGUGUGUUGACAGGUGUGUAGUCUAGUGUGUUGACUGGUGUCUCGACUGGUGUGUUGACUGGUGUCUCGACUGGUAUGUUGACAGGUGUGUAGACUCGUGUGUUGACUGGUGUCUCGACUAGUGUGUUGACAGAUGUGUAGAUUUGUGUGUUGACUGGUGCCUCAACUAGUGUGUUGACAGGUGUGUAGAUUUGUGUGUAGACUGGUGUGUAGACUAGUGUGUUGACAGGUGUGUAGAUUCGUGUGUUGACUGGUGUCCCGACUGGUGUGUUGACAGGUGUGUAGACUCGUGUGUUGACUGGUGUCUCGACUAGUGUGUUGACAGAUGUGUAGAUUUGUGUGUUGACUGGUGCCUCAACUAGUGUGUUGACAGAUGUGUAGAUUCGUGUGUUGACUGGUUCCCCGACUAGUGUGUUGAUAGGUGUGUAGUCUAGUGUGUUGACUGGUGUCUCAACUAGUGCGUUGACAGGUGUGUAGAUUCGUGUGUAGACUGGUGUGUAGUCUAGUGUGUUGACUGGUGACUCGACUAGUGUGUUGACAGGUGUGUAGAUUCAUGUGUUGACUGGUGUGUAGACUAGUGUGUUGACAGGUGUGUAGUCUAGUGUGUUGACUGGUGUCUCGACAAGUGUGUUGACAGGUGUGUAGAUUCAUGUGUUGACUGGUGUGUAGACUAGUGUGUUGACAGGUCGGUAGUCUAGUGUGUUGACUGGUGACUCGACUAGUGUGUUGACAGGUGUGUAGAUUCGUGUGUUGACUGGUGUGUAGACUAGUGUGUUGACUGGUGUGUAGACUAGUGUGUUGACAGGUGUGUAGACUAGUGUGUUGACAGGUGUGUAGCCUCAUGUGUUGACUUGUGUCCCGACUAGUGUGUUGACAGGUGUAUAGCCCCUUGUGUUGUCUGGUGUCCCGACUAGUGUGUUGACUUGUGUGUAGAUUCGUGUGUUGACUGGUGUCCCGACUGGUGUGUUGACAGGUGUGUAGACUCGUGUGUUGACUGGUGUCUCGACUAGUGUGUUGACAGGUGUGUAGCCUCUUGUGUUGACUGGUUCCCCGACUAGUGUGUUGACAGGUGUGUAGCCUCAUGUGUUGACUGGUGUCCUGACUAGUGUGUUGACAGAUGUGUAGAUUUGUGUGUUGUCUGGUGUCCCGACUAGUGUGUUGACUUGUGUGUAGAUUCGUGUGUUGACUGGUGUCCCGACUGGUGUGUUGACAGGUGUGUAGACUCGUGUGUUGACUGGUUCCCCGACUAGUGUGUUGACAGGUGUGUAGCCUCAUGUGUUGAUUGGUGUCCCGACUAGUGUGUUGACAGAUGUGUAGAUUCGUGUGUUGACUGGUGUCUCGAUUAGUGUGUUGACAGGUGUGUAGAUUCGUGUGUUGACUGGUGUCCCGACUGGUGUGUUGACAGGUGUGUAGACUCGUGUGUUGACUGGUUCCUCGACUAGUGUGUUGACAGAUGUGUAGAUUCGUGUGUUGACUGGUGCCUCAACUAGUGUGUUGGCAGGUGUGUAGAUUCAUGUGUUGACUGGUGUCUUGACUAGUGUGUUGACAGGUGUGUAGCCUCGUGUGUUGACUGGUUCCCCGACUAGUGUGUUGACAGCUGUGUAACAUGUAAGAUGAAAAACAUGAUGUGACCAUUGUUGAUGAAACAGCAAUAUACCCUUAGAGAUUGUUUUGGUCAAAUGGAUUAAGCAGAGUACAGAACAGUCUUUUGUGACCAGGAGGUCUCAGUAUUCAAGUAUCCAGAGGAUCAAAUUUAUUUUUGAUAUUUUCUUUUUUGUCAGCAAACAAGGAUUAAGUAAUUUUCUUUCUACAUGAUGUAUUUAUACUUAUUAUACUUAAACAUACACCACAGAACAAACGUAUACAGAAUACACAGAAUGUGCCAACAUUUACAGAGCAUAAUGUAAUAUGUGAUUGCAGUAUUUUUAUACAAACUAUUGGCUAAUUUGACACUUUAUUGUUCUAAUCACUCGUUUGUGUGGUGAAAUCAAACAUUAGUAUAUAAACUUCUUCAUAGAGAUUUCUUCAUCAGAAGUUGAAGUUUGUCCAUUGCAACAUUUCAUGAUCAAUAUUAUGAAUGAUUGGGGCAUUGAAGGACGUAAUGAACAGUAUUGUCAAAAUGGUGAGGCACACCAGCAAGAAAUUGUUUGUAUGAUGUUGAUUGUAAAUAUACCUGCAUACUGACUUCGCCAUAUUAUACCUCAGUCAGCCUGUAAUGUAAUGCAUUCAUGUUUAGUUUUCCACAAUAAAAGAAAUGACAUAAGUCAUGUUUUAUUGAUA
This 4837-nucleotide unclassified non-coding RNA is filed under the name Haliotis rufescens (red abalone). RNAcentral's name for it is "carbonyl reductase [NADPH] 1-like, transcript variant X2". Lineage: Eukaryota; Metazoa; Mollusca; Gastropoda; Lepetellida; Haliotidae. The record is from RNAcentral.